RNAcentral lists this small RNA (112 nucleotides) under Tupaia belangeri (northern tree shrew). RNAcentral describes it as "7SK RNA (ENSTBEG00000020775.1)". It matches the Rfam family "7SK RNA", at positions 2 to 107 of the family's 331-position model. Rfam says of the family: 7SK was discovered as an abundant small nuclear RNA in the mid-70s but a possible function has only recently been suggested. Lineage: Eukaryota; Metazoa; Chordata; Mammalia; Scandentia; Tupaiidae. The record is from RNAcentral.
GACAGGAGGGUGAUCUGGCUGUGAACUAUGAUCUCUGUCACCCCAUUGGUGUCAGGGUUGAUCUGUCUGAACUGGUGGCUAGGCAUGUGUCUCCCUUCCUCCCAUCCAACUC